This 329-nucleotide unclassified non-coding RNA is filed under the name soil metagenome. RNAcentral describes it as "partial contains 5.8S ribosomal RNA, internal transcribed spacer 2, and large subunit ribosomal RNA". The stretch from base 1 to 120 matches the Rfam family "5.8S ribosomal RNA", at positions 35 to 154 of the family's 154-position model. The record is from RNAcentral.
GAUGAAGAACGCAGCGAAAUGCGAUAAGUAGUGUGAAUUGCAGAAUUCAGUGAAUCAUCGAAUCUUUGAACGCACAUUGCGCCCCUUGGUAUCCCGAGGGGCAUGCCUGUUCGAGCGUCAUUUCACCACUCAAGCCUGGCUUGGUGUUGGGCGACGUCCCCUUUGGGGACGCGCCUCGAAACGCUCGGCGGCGUGGCACCGGCUUUAAGCGUAGCAGAAUCUUUCGCUUUGGAAGUCGGGGCCCCGUCUGCCGGAAGACCUACUCGCAAGGUUGACCUCGUAUCAGGCAGGGAUACCCGCUGAACUUAAGCAUAUCAAUAAGCGGAGGA